UGCCAGCACCCCGAGUGGUCGGGACGAUUAUUGGGCCUAAAGCAUCCGUAGCCGGUUCUACAAGUCUUCCGUUAAAUCCACCUGCUUAACAGAUGGGCUGCGGAGGAUACUAUGGAGCUAGGAGGCGGGAGAGGCAAGCGGUACUUAGUGGGUAGGGGUAAAAUCCGUUGAUCCAUUGAAGACCACCAGUGGCGAAGGCGGCUUGCCAGAACGCACUCGACGGUGAGGGAUGAAAGCUGGGGGAGCAAACCGG
This 253-nucleotide ribosomal RNA is filed under the name uncultured bacterium. RNAcentral's name for it is "partial 16S ribosomal RNA". It matches the Rfam family "Archaeal small subunit ribosomal RNA", at positions 474 to 727 of the family's 1478-position model. The record is from RNAcentral.